Molecule: long non-coding RNA, 575 nt
Organism: Papaver somniferum (opium poppy)
Lineage: Eukaryota; Viridiplantae; Streptophyta; Magnoliopsida; Ranunculales; Papaveraceae
Exons: 4
Source: RefSeq, a predicted model, not a curated record
AGAUCAACUUCUGUGAUCAAAGAGGCUCACACUUCAGUUCAAGGAAAGCGGGCUAGGCAUGGCAAGAUUGUGCUUAAUAUCUUCGAGAUGGGCACCGGAUGAGCAGCUGGACCAAUCAGCUUCCACGCAGGCAAACAAAUACUAGCCGCAGUACCUGGAGAGGUCCUCUUAGAUUCUUUCAGUACUUUCAGCAAGGGUAUCGAUGCAGCUGAAGUUGCCGAAAAACAAGCUCUUUCUACUUCAUCCAAAACUUCAACCAAAUUAGUUAGCGAUAGACACUUACAGAAGAAAUGCUCUUGUCUGAUCUUAAAGAAAGCAGCUGAGGCGAACAAAGAAAACAUAUCCGCUCUCAUGGUAUGCUUAGCUACAGAAUAUAUUCAUGAUGUUUGUAAUACACAGAAUUUGUAUUCCCUUAGGACAUAGGAAUGAACUGAACUUAUGAAGUUUCUAUGUAUUCCCUUAACAAAAAAAAUUGCUACUUAGGAAAAUUUCAGUUAUUUUUUAUACUCCCUCCGUCCAACUUUACUUGCCAAAAUUGUGUUUUCUUUAACAAAUUUGUACCAAAAAAUUGAUAU